GGGCAGCGGGAUUGAAGCUUGCUUCAAUUGCCGGCGACCGGCGCACGGGUGGGUAACGCGUAUCCAACCUUCCGUACACUCAGGGAUAGCCUUUCGAAAGAAAGAUUAAUACCUGAUGGUAUGAUGAGAUUGCAUGAUAGCAUCAUUAAAGAUUUAUCGGUGUACGAUGGGGAUGCGUUCCAUUAGGUAGUAGGCGGGGUAACGGCCCACCUAGCCAACGAUGGAUAGGGGUUCUGAGAGGAAGGUCCCCCACAUUGGAACUGAGACACGGUCCAAACUCCUACGGGAGGCAGCAGUGAGGAAUAUUGGUCAAUGGACGAGAGUCUGAACCAGCCAAGUAGCGUGAAGGAUGAAGGUCCUACGGAUUGUAAACUUCUUUUAUAAGGGAAUAAACCCUCCCACGUGUGGGAGCUUGUAUGUACCUUAUGAAUAAGCAUCGGCUAACUCCGUGCCAGCAGCCGCGGUAAUACGGAGGAUGCGAGCGUUAUCCGGAUUUAUUGGGUUUAAAGGGAGCGCAGACGGGUCGUUAAGUCAGCUGUGAAAGUUUGGGGCUCAACCUUAAAAUUGCAGUUGAUACUGGCGUCCUUGAGUGCGGUUGAGGUGUGCGGAAUUCGUGGUGUAGCGGUGAAAUGCUUAGAUAUCACGAAGAACUCCGAUUGCGAAGGCAGCACACUAAUCCGUAACUGACGUUCAUGCUCGAAAGUGUGGGUAUCAAACAGGAUUAGAUACCCUGGUAGUCCACACGGUAAACGAUGGAUACUCGCUGUUGGCGAUAUACUGUCAGCGGCUUAGCGAAAGCGUUAAGUAUCCCACCUGGGGAGUACGCCGGCAACGGUGCAACUCAAAGGAAUUGACGG
This 857-nucleotide ribosomal RNA is filed under the name uncultured Bacteroidota bacterium. RNAcentral describes it as "bacterial SSU rRNA". It matches the Rfam family "Bacterial small subunit ribosomal RNA", at positions 67 to 916 of the family's 1533-position model. Lineage: Bacteria; Pseudomonadati; Bacteroidota. The record is from RNAcentral.